Molecule: ribosomal RNA, 253 nt
Filed under: uncultured bacterium
Lineage: Bacteria
Description: partial 16S ribosomal RNA
Rfam family: Bacterial small subunit ribosomal RNA
Source: RNAcentral
UACGAAGGGGGCUAGCGUUGUUCGGAUUUACUGGGCGUAAAGCGCAUGUAGGCGGACCAUUAAGUUGGGGGUGAAAUCCCGAAGCUCAACCUCGGAAUUGCCUCCCAAACUGGCGGGCUGGAGCAGAAGAGAGGCGAGGGGAAUUCCGAGUGUAGAGGUGAAAUCCGUAGAUAUUCGGAGGAACACCAGUGGCGAAGGCGACUCGCUGGCUUCUUGCUGACGCUGAGAAGCGAAAGCGGGGGGAGCAAACAGG